This 144-nucleotide ribosomal RNA is filed under the name uncultured ammonia-oxidizing bacterium. RNAcentral describes it as "partial 16S ribosomal RNA". It matches the Rfam family "Bacterial small subunit ribosomal RNA", at positions 338 to 477 of the family's 1533-position model. The record is from RNAcentral.
CGUACGAGAGGCAGCAGUGGGGAAUUUUGGGCAGUGGGCGCAAGCCUGAUCCAGCAAUGCCGCGUGUGUGAAGAAGGCCUUCGGGUUGUAAAGCACUUUUGUCAGGAAGAAACGGUGAGGGCUAAUAUCCCUGCUAAUGACGUA